Molecule: non-coding RNA, 2783 nt
Organism: Salmo salar (Atlantic salmon)
Lineage: Eukaryota; Metazoa; Chordata; Actinopteri; Salmoniformes; Salmonidae
Source: RefSeq, a predicted model, not a curated record
GACACCACAGAGCGUGCAAACAGAGGUAGCUGUUGUCUGUGUAUGUUAUGCUUUUUCUCAGAGUUGUAAAAGCAAGCAGAGAAGAAACUGGCUGCUCUUUAUUUCACUGAUGUAGCUGGCAAGGUAACUGCUGUUUGACUUAACUGAAGAAGAAAACAUAUUCCCAGUGCUGAGCUAGUAUUGUAACUGACAUGUAACGUUAGGUAAUGUUUCAUCCCCUCUCAACUCAAGUUUUGUCUGAAGUGACUGAACUAGCUAGCUAACUAGUGGCUACCACAGCUCUAGCCUCCAGCUAUCUGUCAGGUAGCAGUAUCUAACAGCUGUUGUGUGUAUGGAAAUGUUUUGAAGCUGUAAGAAAGCCUGUCCCUUUAAGAACUUAGUGAUAACGUCACAGCUAUCACAAGCUGGCAGAGUGUUUAGUUCAUUACCAAGUGUCGCCACCUACUGCUGUGAACAUAAAUCUCAGUUUUGGACAUUAUUUCCUUUCUGACCAACUUAUUCAUCACUGUGCGUGAAUACCAAAACUACCACAUCUUAAAUGGAUAAAUGGACAGUUAAUUGGAUAAUCAAAGCUGAGUGACAUGGCACAGAAUUGCAAACAUUGUUAAUCUCCAAUCACAUUAAGGAACCCUAAACUGAGGAAUUGUCUCUCUCGCCGUCUCUCUAAUAGGAGUACAAUCUCUAUAACUUCACCUACUCAGUGUAUAGAUUCCAGAGGCAUCUCCCUCUAAUUCAGUAGCCUUUGUUUUGUCCUGUUUCAACAGAAGUAAAUUAACUUGGCUCAUUUUCGCUAGUUGAUGCACCAUAGAGCUAGCCAAAAGUUGGCUAACGUUAGAUAUGUUUGCCUUAAUCACAGUCAGUAUAGCAAUGUAACGUUAUUGAUCUGUCAGUUUCCCUAGCCAAUUCCCUACUUUACACACUGACACAGUAUAAACAGCUCUACAGGCUUCACUGUCAUGUUGCACAGUCAGUACUGUACACAAAACUAUGCUCCUCAUGUCUUAGCAGGAUCAGAUGAUGACAGGUGUCUUGAAUGCACAACACGUCACUUCCUGUUGAACGCGGAAUCAGGGAGAGCUCGGUUUGAUGUUUUGGACUAUUGAAUAAGUUUGGUUAUUAGCUAGCUACCUUUUGUGUUUGGAUUCCGUGACGCGGUUAGCAUCAGUUGCUGGUACCGCUAUCAUCUGCUGUUUGUUGUUUCCAAUCUUACCUGCGAUAUGCCACGUUUGGAAUUAUGAGGAGUAACAGCGAAACCUAUGUUGCUACCAUGACGAAGACCAAAGCCGGCAGGAGUACCGUUGAGGGCAGUGUUGUCUCUAUCACAGGUGAAGGAUAUUUUAAACUAACAAAAAUAGUUAAACAGUUGUUACAACAACAAUAAAAUUGCUUCAAGUGUUGUGUCCAAAUACUGGUGGAGUCAACUAAUAAAAGAAAUGGACGACCUGACCAGAGAGAUCCAGGACCCAAAGAACAGUUUGCAGUUCUCCCAGGGUCAGCUCGAUGAGUUGAAACAGGAAAACGGCAAGAUGACAGCAAUAUGUGAGUCAUUGUGAGAGGACAUCAGUUCUGUUUGGGAAUCAAUGAUAACAAUGAUGGAGAAAUGAGAUUCUUGAGGGACAAUCAAGGCAGAACAACAUGGUUGUUGACAGAAUUGCAGAAUAUCCACGAGACCUGGGCGGAGUCUGAGAACAAAGUAAGGGAAAUGAUCUCAGAGAAACUAAAAAUGGACCACAGGAAGAUUGAGGUAGAGCAUGACCACAGGACUGGAAAACCCACCACCAACCCAGGUGACAGGCCCAGGCCAAUAGUUGUCAAGUCCCUGAGGUUCAAGGACAAGGUAGCUGUUCUGGAACGAAACAAGAACUUGAGAGGAACGUACAUCUUCCUCAACGAGGACUAUCCUGAAGCUGUGCACCAGAAGAGGAAAGAACUGAUCCCAGCCAUGAAAACUGCCAGAGCACGUGAGGACAUUGCUUACAUCCGCUAUGACAGGCUCAUUGUCCACCCAAAAGCCUGGAAGGGAUGAGAAAGCUAAGCCUAUGGGAUCAGAUGGUGACAGGGGUCUCAGCAGGGUCAGUCAACCAGGGAAGACCAGUCUGUGACGGCGCUGAGGUGAACUUUUACAAAUGCAACACUUUAUUCUCUCUGUGCAGCAAACACUGGACAAGCCAGAAGAUUCAAAGAUUGAAACUAUUUUAAGGCAGUCUGACAAACCUCUAAAGUUGAUUUCCAAACUGUAUCAAGGGUUGAUAGAGGCUUUCCCAAUGACACAAAACAUGUAAUACUAAAAUGUGAGGAAGACCUGGGAAGACACUACUGAUGAUGAAUGGAUACAGAUAUGUUUGAAUGCCCAGCCAUGUACAUAUAAUCUCAGACAUAAAUUACUGCAGUUUUCAGAACAUAUGUACUAUAUGCCAGUGAAACUGAAUACCAUGUACUCAGAAAUGUAAUUCCUCUGCUGGAGGUGUAAAAAACAAAAGGGGACAUAUUUCAAUAUGUUAUGCUCUUGUGAAGGCUGGCUGAGUUCUGGCAAAGUGUAUGUUAUUUUAUUUCAGCAUGUCUACAGUCUCCCUGUUUUUGUUUGUUUGGAAAUAUUGAUUCUGGAGACUUGUCAGAAGAAACUGUGUAACCUAGAAUUUAUAGUGGCUAAGAAAUACGUUGCCAUUAAUGGGAAGGUUGUGUAUCCUCCCACAAAUGUCACAAUUGAUGGCAGAAAUGUCAUUCCAUGGGUUAUUUCAUAGUUUGUAGAAAAUAGUAAAAAUAAAAAAUAAACCUGGAAUGAG